Molecule: long non-coding RNA, 248 nt
Filed under: Elaeis guineensis (African oil palm)
Lineage: Eukaryota; Viridiplantae; Streptophyta; Magnoliopsida; Arecales; Arecaceae
Description: long non-coding RNA (EGUI_LNC043310)
Source: RNAcentral
UACCAAGUUAUUGAAUUGGAUUAAAGUCAUGCUAGUCAAACUGGCACCUACAUCAGUCACACUGAUCAACCUUAAUGGCAUGGAUCAAUUCGAAUCACUUAGUAGUUUAAUCAAGACAUAAUUAACCAAAUUGGUUAGGUAAGUGAGAUCGAUAGGAGAAUCCACUAAGCUUACCUUAGACACCAUCAAAAUGGAUAGGUAAGCUGCUAUCAAUUAAAAAUCAUCGAUCGAAUUGCCAAACUUACCUU